RNAcentral lists this long non-coding RNA (5351 nucleotides) under Mytilus galloprovincialis (Mediterranean mussel). The record is from RNAcentral. Lineage: Eukaryota; Metazoa; Mollusca; Bivalvia; Mytilida; Mytilidae.
GUUAAAUUUAUUUAAGAUCAACUUAUUUUAAGGAGUUUGAACUAAAGUUUUAAGUAAUUUUCUAUUUCUAUGUUUUGUUUGUUUCGUUUUAGUAUUUGGAGCAUCGUUUCAGUAAGGGCGUCAGAACAGCUGGUUCUAUGACAUUUUCUAUACAAAUGGUAAGUAACGUUACUGUAAACGCUGGUAUUAUAAAAAAAUAAUAAUGAUAUAAUGAAUAAGAACUAUAGGCUGAAAAUCUAUACUACAAGACCACCGGGUACUUAGUUGAUAUGAAUAUUUAUCAAUAAGGUGUUGUAUCAUCCGUGGAACUUUUAAGAAAAAGGGCGAGACAUUCUUGAAAAACCCAUUACUCACAAACUGUUGACAUUUAUAUAUACACUGAGUAACAGUUGCAAGCUCUAAAAUACCUAAUGAAUUAGGAAAUGUGUACACCAUAUGCAGGUGAAGUUCUAUACUACAUCCGGGAAGUUAAAUAACAGCAUGGUGAUGUUGUGGUAUGAAAAAAGCUUACGAAUAAGAAUUGCCUGGAAAAAAAAAGAAGUUAACAUUUAAUCCGACCAGGAAUAUUUAAAAGUAGUUAGUAGACCAGUUAAUUAUUUUUGAAAUUUAUUUAUAUAACAGUUAUAGUUAGGCUUAUUAGAAAUUUCAUACCAUUUUGGAUCAAUUGAACGUUAGGAGUACUCAUGGUCAACGUAUAUCUGAAUAGUUAUCCGUUUGUUUUUUUUAGUUGUUGUAUAUGGCGCUUGUCCUGUAUGCUCCAUCACUCGCUUUAAAUGCAGGUAAGAUAUGGUUUUCUUUUUCAGUUGUCGUUUAUUUGGGUCUAAAUGCCAUUAAAUCAUAGCCAGUCAUUAUAUGUUUCCCAGUUAUACAUUAUUUUUUGCCCAUUUUGCUACAGAUUUAUUCUCUAUCCUGUAAACCUCAUCCAAACCAUCAUAUAUGACACUCGUACCAAUUUUACUAGUUCUUGUUUCUCUUAUCUUCAUUUGGAGUAAGGUCAAAUUAUAUCGACUUGUUAAGUUUUAAUGAAAUAGGAUAAAACUCUGUAUAAAGAUAUAAAAGGUUGUAUGUUGAACAAUUGGUGGGUCUCAUCAUCAUAAAACAUUAAGUGCGGUAUUAGACAAGGCUAUCCGUUAAGUUCCCUGAUUUUUGUUAUUGCUGAAUUAGACAAGAUUCCAAUAUCAAAGGUUUUCAAAUCAAGCUUGAUACAAAACACAUAGUUUUAAGAACUCGCAAUUAGCCGACGAAACAACCCUUUUUUAAAUCGCAAAAUGAGUAUGUCACAAUCUUUAGAACACUAUCAUGUUUAAAACUGAACAGAUCAACACAUUUGGUUAGGAAAAUUAAAUCAUUGCUAAGAUAAGUUUGAAACAUUAAAUGGAAUAAAGGACCAAUUAAAAGUAUAGGGGUUUAUUUUAGAACAAAUCGAGCUGAAUGCGAUAAGAUUAAUACUGAACAAAAUUUUAAAAUGUGACAAAUUAAUAAGUUAUUGGAAAAAAGAGACAUCUAAUAUGAAAUAAAACAGAGGAUUAUAAGCAUUUGUUCUGGAAUGUCAAUACUUAAAAAAUCCUUUUGGAAAAUGAUAAAUAGUUAAAUAUCAAAGGUACCAGGAUUAUAAUUUAGUACGCCAGACGCGCGUUUCGUCUACAUAAGACGCAUCAGUGACGCUCAUAUCAAAAGAUUUAUAAAGCCAAACAAGUACAAAGUUGAAGAGGAUUGAGGAUCAAAAAUUCCAAAAAGUUGUGCCAAAUACGGCUAAGGUAAUCUAUGCCUGUGGUAAAAAAAUCCUUAGUGUUUCGUAAAACUCAAAGUUUUGUAAACAGGAAAUUUAUAAAAAUGACCACAUUAUUGAUAUUCAUGUCAACACCGAAGUGUUGACUACUGGGCAGGUGAUACCCUCGGGACGAAACGUCCACCAGCAGUGGCAUCGGCCCAGUGGUGUAAAUAGUUAUCAAAGAUACCAGGAUUAUAAUUUAGUACGUCAGACGCGCGUUUCGUCCACAUAAGACUCAUCAAUGACGCUCAUAUCAAAAGAUUUAAAGAGCCAAACAAGUACAAAGUUGAAGAGCGUUGAGGAUCCAAAAUUCCAAAAAGUUGUGCCAAAUACGGCUAAGGUAAUCCAUGCCUGGGAUAAGAAAAUCCUUAGUGUUUCGAAAAAUUCAAAGUUUUGUAAACAGGAAAUUUAUAAAAAUGACCACAUUAUUGAUAUACAUGUCAACACCGAAGUUUUGACUACUGGGCAGGUGAUACCCUCGGGGACGAAACGUCUACCAGCAGUGGCAUCGACCCAGUGGUGUAAAUAGUUAGGAUUAUAAUUUAGUACGCUUUAAUAAAGCAAGGAGUUGUAUACAAAUCCUUGAAUAAAGUUAAGAUAGGUCAUCAUAUCCUAAACUAAAGAUAUCUCGUAGAAGAAUAUAAAAUCUGGGACAGCAGUUAUUAUGAUAUAAAUCUUUUUGUAACAUUAAUUACAUUUUCCAUCCAUAAGUGCACUCACAUUUCAAAUUAUAAAACUUCAAAUAUUGAUGUAUAUGUCCUGUUAAAAAAACUUUUUUAACUAUUAAAAUAUUUCGACACUAACAAGGUGGUUAUCUUGGUAAAAUUUUGAAAGAAAUAAGCUUGUUUCUCUAAUUAUAUGGAAAAAUAUCCCUUUCCGAACCCGUUGUAUAAAAAAAAUUUAAUCAACGUGUGGUUGCCGGUGAUCUCAGAAGAUGAUUGGCUAAGUCAAAGGGUCAUAACCUUUCUCAGCUCCCUGAAAUGAUCAAAAUGUUCUAACAGGUGUUAAUGAAAUUGACAACUUCGUAGAAAGUGGAAGGCACUGGAAGGGGAUUUUGGUUUAGAAAAAAAGGAAAUUUAUCUUUUUAUCAUUAGAUAAACAGAUUAUUACAUAGUAACGAUACUUCCGAGGCUCGGACUUUAAAAUUGAUAAUUUAACUAUCUCGAUUGGAUAAAUCCGAUAAUCCACUUGUAUCAAUGUAAUAAUCUAUAAAUAUAUACUUUUUAUUAUGUUUAUGUUAUGCAUAUAAUUAUAUGCUCUAUUUAUUUAGCUGGCAUAAUUAUGUCACUUAUUCUAAUUAAUCAUCAGACCAAGUGUUGUGGACUUCGUCACAAUCAUGAUCGGUGAUAAAAUCUAUAGAAUGUAAAUCUUACAAUUUAUUAUUAUAAACUGAACAAUCUCCCUGUUUGUUCAGUUAGACUAACCCUACAGGAGUGCCCUGUCAAAUGCUGUAGACGUGGUAUUCAUUAUAACUGCAUUAGUGCAGUAAAUUAGAUUUCAGGUGAAUAAAAAGAAUUACUGAGUUCUGCCUGAAAGUAUCUCACUUGCCUAUUUUAUUAAAUCACUAGACAGAAAGAGAGAACAUUAUCUAACGCAUGAAGCUUACGUAUACACUGUUACUGAAGCGUGAUAUGUAAAUACGAUCCAGUUUUUUGUUCAGGUCCAUGUCGCAUUCUCGAGAAUACAUAUUGUUGAAUAAAAUGAAUUCAUCAUCAACCCAUAGUGCAAAAUUCUUAAAUAUAAACUGACAAUAGAUGAGAGGCUUAGCCUUUAUAGGAAAGACUUGCGUUUUAGCUACAAAAGACUCACCAGCAAGACUCGACUAAACAAGUAUAAAAAAGCGAAAUAAUUAUUAUAUGAACGAUUGCAUAAUAUAAUAAACUUUAAUAUAACUUGCAUAGAACAUAAAUGAAUUUAAAAAAUAUUACUUUUUUGAUUUGAUAAUAUUCAUGACACCAACCCGAAGAAGUUAAUAAACAAUAAAUUACAUUUUUGGAAUUUGGAACGCCUGAAAUGCGUUUCGUCAAUAGUUAGACUCAUCAACUGCAAUAGAAUCAAAACAGUUAGACAGCCAAAUCAAAUAAGAAAAUCUUCGAAAAAUAAAAAAGGAAAUUUACUGAACCAUACAGUAUCAAAAUGAUUUUUCAUGUCAACAUAGAAGUGAUGUCAUCUGAUCUGGUGAUAUCCCAGUAGAAUAUAAAUGCAAUCUCAUUACUGCGUUGAAAGAACAUUAAUCAUCCUGUAACGGAUAAGAAUACAAGUGCGUAGCACAUUUUGCAAGCACCACAUCAGUAUUUCAACUUAGACAUGUGCUUUGUCAUUUUUUUUUUAUUCCAUAUAAUUUUUAAAUCUGAAAAUCAUAUAUCUAAAGCUUUAUUAUAGAAUAUGAUACAUAACAUCAAGAUAAAUCCUCACAAAUAUCCCUCGUCAGUUGUUUUUAAUGUAUUUACCUGUACCCUAAGCCUUCAUCGAUUUCUCAUCCGGUAUAGAGAGCUAUUUUUUGGAGUAAAAGUAUGUAUAUUAAAUAACUCUAUGUCAUCAAAUUAUUCACUUGAUCUUAGAAUAAUUGACUGUGCCGGAAAACAUAGUCGGAAGAUACCACACGGACAACGAGUCGGAGAAAAAAAACUUCUUCCAUUUUACUCUGCUGAUUUUGUCGCCAAUUGUGCGUUUGGUCUACAUAAGAAUCUUUAUAUUCCAAAAAAUCAUACAAAACCAUGGAUGAAAUGAAGAAGAACAGUUGACAAAAAAUUACACAGAAACAAAAAACUGAUCAUAACGAAUUCAAGAAACUUUUGGAGACCGCAUGUUCUCCGAAAGGGUAAACAAAUACUGUCAUGUCUGUGAUACCUGACAGAUGUCAAGUACCAACCUGUAUAUGAUCAAUUGUUACCGGAUGAUUGUUUUGCAGCCUCCUAUUUAAUAUAUGUUUUUCGUACACCUAACAAAAGAUGGAAGUAACACAUUAUAAAUUGUAUGCGUUUGAAAUCCUUUUCUUACUUACCCUUCUUACAAAAUUGGCCUUAUAUAAAUCUGCCUAAUAUUUUGUUGUCAUAUAGAACUUUAACUCUUUCGGUUUCUUGUACAUCCUUGACGCAUAAAAUCCAUGUAUUGUUUACAUUAUUUUCCUUCAGUCCACAAUUUUUACAUGAAAGUGUUGAAUUGAGAUAUCAUUUUGUAUCCGUAUAUCCAGAAAGUUCUGAUUUUAUAAAAGAUGAAAUGUAAAUGUCAUGCAACAAUUGUCUUUUAGGAGAUUAACGGAAAGUCAUAUUUGGUUUUUUUGUUAUCAAAAUUCUGAGUCAAUGGAAAAAUAUGCCCUCUACUCUUGACAUAUGUUUAGCCCAGUAGUCAGCACUUUGGUGUUGUUAUGAAAAUCAAUUAUAUGGCCAUUUUUAUAAAUUCCCUGCCUACAAAACUUUUACUUUAUAACUAUUUUGAUCUGAGCGUCAAUGAUGAGUCUUAUGUAGACGAAACGCGCGGCUGACGUAUUAAAUUAUAAUCCUGGUACCUUUGAUAACUUAUUAACAUCUUUUGCAGUGACUGGGUUUACUCUAUGGGGAUCAGUCAUAUCAGUGGGAGC